GGAAGUUCGGUCAUGAAGCCUCCUGUCAGCUGCGGAACACCUGCCUAAACUUUCUUAGUGCUGCUCCAAUUCACCCGAGCAGACCACCGCCCGGCAUCAGCCUCAGUCCUGGUCGCUAGCCGGAGUGUUAUCUGGCCCGGCUCGGCACUGCUCGGUUUCUUUUCCAGCAGUUUUUUACCGACAUCGACCCAAACAGAACCGGAGCAACAGUUCCUCUUUGCUGGCUAGCAAGUUAGCCGACUAGCCCAUAGCAGCCCCACGGCACCGGGUGCGCCUUGUGGGACCAGAACGGGUCUGAGUCCGCCUUCGAGCCUUUGGAUCGGGUAGUACCGUUGAGACCGUACUGUUUCAGUUGUCUGUCUAGUGUCUCGGUCCGCUCAGCUUCUCCUCAUCCUCCCAAGAAAGAGUCUCUCUUAGCCGCUCUGCUAAACUCAGCCAAGAUGGCGGAGUGGCCAAGCCCAGCGCGGUGACGCGAUGGAUAUCGUGCGGCGUGAUUGGUCGGUCAGCUCUGUCAGGAACAUUCUGAUCCACCAGGACUCCCUGCCCUUUGAUUUCUUCUUCUUCAUUCUAAUUAUUAUUAUUGAUCAGAUGAGAACUGCAUACAGUGACAGGAUACAAGCAGUUUGAAUGAAGACAAGUUUAAACGGGUUUCUGGAUGCAAAGAGUCAGUUCGGCCAGCAGGCGGCAGCAGACCCCUCAGAUCAGAUGACACCAGCUGUCUGAACAAAGACUGUUCACUAUGCUGGAAACUUUGAUCCACACAUGGAUGGAGGAAGAGGAGAGAGGAGGAUGAAGGGUAAAGAGGAGGAGAGAGGAAGAGCACUAAUGUGACGGAUUACAUUUACUGGUGAUGACUGCACACAUCAAUGCCUUCCAUAACAAAAUGUCCACAACAACAACACACUACACCACUGUAUUUACUGGUUACAGUCAGGCCACAUGAUGCUGAACCCAUUUAGAGUUUAAGUCUGAUCUGAUUGAGUUUAUUAUUGAUCCACUUGACUUUAAGGUUGGAGAAGAAUGGAGGGCUGUGAUUGGCUGAGACGUCAUGGAGGCGGUUCUCCUUUAAGCUCCGCCUGAUGGAACUAACGUCUGUAGCUGAUAGGCUGGGUUUAAUAGACAGCAGCGCCGACACAUGAUCGUCACUGAAGAGAGGGGACAUGGAAGAGCAAUCAAUCAAUCAAUCAAUCAAUCGAUAUGUCAAAAAUGUAUUCUUGCA
Molecule: long non-coding RNA, 1219 nt
Organism: Parambassis ranga (Indian glassy fish)
Lineage: Eukaryota; Metazoa; Chordata; Actinopteri; Ambassidae
Source: Ensembl